GACGAACGCUGGCGGCGUGCUUAACACAUGCAAGUCGAACGGAAAGGCCCUGCUUUUGUGGGGUGCUCGAGUGGCGAACGGGUGAGUAACACGUGAGUAACCUGCCCUUGACUUUGGGAUAACUUCAGGAAACUGGGGCUAAUACCGGAUAGGAGCUCCUGCUGCAUGGUGGGGGUUGGAAAGUUUCGGCGGUUGGGGAUGGACUCGCGGCUUAUCAGCUUGUUGGUGGGGUAGUGGCUUACCAAGGCUUUGACGGGUAGCCGGCCUGAGAGGGUGACCGGCCACAUUGGGACUGAGAUACGGCCCAGACUCCUACGGGCGGCAGCAGUGGGGAAUAUUGCACAAUGGGCGGAAGCCUGAUGCAGCAACGCCGCGUGCGGGAUGACGGCCUUCGGGUUGUAAACCGCUCUCGCAUGUGACGAAGCGUGAGUGACGGUAAUGGGUAAAGAAGCACCGGCUAAAUACGUG
Molecule: ribosomal RNA, 468 nt
Filed under: uncultured bacterium
Lineage: Bacteria
Description: partial 16S ribosomal RNA
Rfam family: Bacterial small subunit ribosomal RNA
Source: RNAcentral